GCUGCUGGAGUGUCAGGACAAACUGGAGCAGAAGGCAUUGCAGGACUGGAGGGCCCAUAACGUACACGUAGUGAGCAUGGACAACUCGGACCCCUCGAUCUACCGGAAAGAGUCAUGCAUCUGCUGCAUAUGUUGUUCCUGUAUGAUCAACACACAACAAGCACAGCCCUGCAACCUAUUAAAGGGAUACAGACAGAACAGAUGAAAAAAUGCACUUGACGAUCUCUGUGACGAGGAUGACUGGCUGGUGUUUGACCAGUGAACAGCUCCA
Corticium candelabrum is the source of this 271-nucleotide long non-coding RNA. RefSeq lists it as uncharacterized. NCBI's taxonomy places the organism in Eukaryota, Metazoa, Porifera, Homoscleromorpha, Homosclerophorida, Plakinidae. The record is from RefSeq and is a predicted model, not a curated record. The transcript is spliced from 2 exons.